Molecule: long non-coding RNA, 667 nt
Filed under: Brassica napus (rape)
Lineage: Eukaryota; Viridiplantae; Streptophyta; Magnoliopsida; Brassicales; Brassicaceae
Description: long non-coding RNA (BNAP_LNC008687)
Source: RNAcentral
AAUACACAAAAAUAAGAAGUUUUCCAUCUCUUAUCUUUAGAUUUCUCUAAAUAUGUUUAAUAUAAUGUUAAAUAAGCAAAUAGGUAUACAAAGAUAUUAUACUAGUAGACAAAUAACUUGGCCUUUUAUAGAACAUGAAGCCAUACUAAUUCAAAUAUUUAUUUUAAAAGACGAAGAUCAUAUCAUUUUUUAGGAGUUAAACACGAUAGAAAUCCCGUUUUGGGUGAAAGAAGAAUCUUAUCCAUCUUUCUCUUCAUUUCUUCCUCAUUUAGUCCUUCUCCUUGCACGAUAAGUAUGCUGUUUUCUAAUUCUACAGAUUUAACUCCUAAUUAACAAAAUGAGAAAUUCAUUAGGAUACAUUAAUGUUUCAAUAUUUUGGCUUAAACUUAACCAUUAAAUUAUGUUAGUGUACCUUUGUAAUCAAAGAUAUAAUCUAGAGCUUUCUUCCUGGCUUUUUCACAAUCAGAAUUAAACUGGAAUCUCACUUCUUCCUGCAAGUAAUGAAAUUACAAUUAAAACUUUGAAGAACUUUUUAUAUAUAACCAAUUCUGGUUCUGAAUGUGUAAACUAUAUGUAUAUGAUUUUUAUACUACCCUCCUCACAAAUUAACUAACCAUUUUUGAGAGCUUUGAAAGUUUGAAAUUUUAAUAGAAAUGAUAAAGAACAA